UCUCUCAUAGUAUAACGGCCGAAUACGCACACCUGAUGUCAGGGUGGUAAUAGACAUUGUGUGUGAGAUCUGGGUUCGAUUCCCGGUGAGAGAG
This is a non-coding RNA of Pluteus cervinus, 94 nucleotides long. Lineage: Eukaryota; Fungi; Basidiomycota; Agaricomycetes; Agaricales; Pluteaceae. The record is from the annotation of a GenBank genome assembly.